RNAcentral lists this ribosomal RNA (291 nucleotides) under uncultured bacterium. Its description in RNAcentral is "partial 16S ribosomal RNA". It matches the Rfam family "Bacterial small subunit ribosomal RNA", at positions 505 to 796 of the family's 1533-position model. The record is from RNAcentral.
GUGCCAGCAGCCGCGGUAAUACGGGGGGUGCGAGCGUUGUCCGGAUUCACUGGGCGUAAAGGGCGCGUAGGCGGCCAGAUCAGUCGAACCUUUAAGAGCGGGGCUCACCCCCGUGGUGGGUUCGGGACGGUCUGGCUGGGGCGCGGCAGAGGGGGACGGAAUGCCGGGUGUAGUGGUGAAAUGCGUAGAGAUCCGGCGGAACACCGGUGGUGAAGACGGUCCCCUGGGCCGAGGCCGACGCUGAGGCGCGAGAGCGCGGGGAGCGAACCGGAUUGGAUACCCGAGUAGUCC